UUAGAUGCGGCAAUGUAAAUCUGAGAUGUGAGCUAGCCGAUGGCGAGUUUGAUCACGUGAUUUUCAAGCAAUCCAAGUGUCAAGAAUAUACCUAUUAAGAAUAGAUCGUUAUACAUGAAUGUAGCAGAUUCAUACGCAAGGCGUUAAAAAUCUGCAUUAUAUAUAGCUCUGCAAGCUCAGUCUUUGAAUCCAGAGUGGAUCGAGCAGCUCGAUUGGCUCUAAAAAUAUUAAUAUCAAACGCAAAUGAGAUAACAUGUAGCAGAAAGAUGCGAACUGCUGAACGAUUUUCGAGGUAAAAGAGCAAACGGACGCCUCUGAUUUGCAAUGCUGGACGCACCUUUAAAAGAAACUCCUUUUUAUUUCUUAUUCACUACUCAUCAUUGUCAUCACAAUGAAUGUUCCUAUACACAACACAAUCUUUAAAAAAACAGUUAACUUCAGUUAACAAUAUAACAUUUAUUUAGUGAGAUACAGUCUAUUAUUCUGGUAAUUAGAAACAUUGUAACCUUAAAUAAAAUGUAUCCAUGUAACAUCAUCAA
Long non-coding RNA from Acromyrmex echinatior (Panamanian leafcutter ant), 539 nucleotides. Lineage: Eukaryota; Metazoa; Arthropoda; Insecta; Hymenoptera; Formicidae. The record is from RefSeq and is a predicted model, not a curated record.